AUUCCAUUGAGUAUUGUAUUUUUUCGACAUUUGACCUUGUCUGCUAGCUAAUGUAAACAAAGCAAGCGAAGGGGCCUAUUGUAUUUCAUGAUUCGCCCGUUUCUAGGCUAUGAUAUGUCUUUACCAUACUCUUUAUCCUAAAGACCUAACGGAUUUGAUUUCUAAAUCAUAAACAUCUAUUCUUUAUAAAGUUAUAGUAAAUUUUUCAUUAAAUGUGAAAACAUUUUGAAACACUUGUUCUUUGUAUUUAAUAUUCAAUUUAUUUGAGGUGCCGAACUUGCCAGCUUGCAGAAACAUGCAAAUAAAACAAGGAAUUUUAUUAUAUAUAUAAAUUAUAAAAUGAUAUUAUAUAUGGUUAUGGGUGUGACAUUGAUUCAUGAGCCAUGCAUCAUUUUGGCAAAUUACGACAUAUCAAUGUAAGUAUAAUCCCUGGAAAUUAUCUGGAUUGACCCAUUGGCAUUGCCUUCGCCAUGCUUUGUUUACAUUUGGCAAUGAAAUGGUUUCAUCUGCUAUAAAGAACUGAACAAGAUUUUCAAAAUGACAAGACAAGUUUGUUCUAUUUAAGGAAGUGAUUUUUACAGUAUGAUUCAAGAAUAAAAAUCUAAAUUUAAAACAAUGUGGCCCAGGACCAUAAAUACAUUUUAUUCUUUCUUUGUUUAUGCAUUUUGCAGGCAAAAGUAGAAUCGCCACUUUAUUCAAAGAUCAAUUUUCUCUUGCAUACCUAUCAGUAACAAUAGAACAAGUUCAGUUUGCCUUGGGAGUUUCUCUUUUAGUAUUAAAUCACAUAAAAACCGUAUUUAAUCACCUUC
This is a non-coding RNA of Paramuricea clavata, 809 nucleotides long. The record is from the annotation of a GenBank genome assembly. NCBI's taxonomy places the organism in Eukaryota, Metazoa, Cnidaria, Anthozoa, Malacalcyonacea, Plexauridae.